UCAGUUGAUUAUUAGUAAUCUGCCUUCGCAAUUGGUAUUCUAUGUAAUAUCUAUGCAUUUCACCGCUACACUACAUAUUCUAACUACUUCAUAAUAACUCAAGAUAACCAGUAUCAAAGGCAAUUUUACGG
This 131-nucleotide ribosomal RNA is filed under the name Psychroserpens sp. Asnod2F01. RNAcentral's name for it is "partial 16S ribosomal RNA". Lineage: Bacteria; Pseudomonadati; Bacteroidota; Flavobacteriia; Flavobacteriales; Flavobacteriaceae. The record is from RNAcentral.